This 495-nucleotide ribosomal RNA is filed under the name uncultured bacterium. RNAcentral's name for it is "partial 16S ribosomal RNA". It matches the Rfam family "Bacterial small subunit ribosomal RNA", at positions 28 to 507 of the family's 1533-position model. The record is from RNAcentral.
GACGAACGCUGGCGGCGUGCCUAAUACAUGCAAGUAGAACGCUGAAGGAGGAGCUUGCUUCUCUGGAUGAGUUGCGAACGGGUGAGUAACGCGUAGGUAACCUGCCUGGUAGCGGGGGAUAACUAUUGGAAACGAUAGCUAAUACCGCAUAACAGUAGAUAUCGCAUGAUAUCUACUUGAAAGGUGCAAUUGCAUCACUACCAGAUGGACCUGCGUUGUAUUAGCUAGUUGGUGAGGUAACGGCUCACCAAGGCGACGAUACAUAGCCGACCUGAGAGGGUGAUCGGCCACACUGGGACUGAGACACGGCCCAGACUCCCACGGGAGGCAGCAGUAGGGAAUCUUCGGCAAUGGACGGAAGUCUGACCGAGCAACGCCGCGUGAGUGAAGAAGGUUUUCGGAUCGUAAAGCUCUGUUGUAAGAGAAGAACGAGUGUGAGAGUGGAAAGUUCACACUGUGACGGUAUCUUACCAGAAAGGGACGGCUAACUACGUG